GAUAUCUCAUGUCAUCUAGAAAUAUAUACAUCAGGCUGGGUGCAGUGGCUCAUAUCUAUUAUCCCAGCACUUUGGGAGGUUGAAGCAGGAGGAUCCCUUGAGGUCAGGAGUUUGAAACCAGCCUGGCCAACAUGGGCUUGCAGAGUGACCUGGUCCAGCACCUGUCCACCUAUCUGUGCUUGUCUCUAGUGGUGGCACAGUUUGUGCUGUCCUGCCUUGCAGAUCAACCUUCCUUCUAACCUAAAGACCCUCAUCAGUCUUCAUUUGUGAGUCCUGCACUAAAUGGCCUUCAGUCCAGAGACCAGACAUCAGACAGCAAUCUGGACCUCUUCCUUGAUGGGAGGUGAGACCUCCAGGAGAGGAAAACGCCUGCUAUGGAGUCUGCAGGCUGAAUACAGUGACUCUCUGGGCAAACAGCUAGAAGAGAAGUGAACAAAAUCUCCAGCCAGAAAGAAAACUUCCCAGUCAACUCUUCCCUGUCCCCGUUUUACAGAUGGAAACACUAAGACUCAGAGGAGAGGAGACAGAGCAGGCACUGGAACCAUAGUCUCCUGGCUCCAAAGUCAAGUUUUGUCCACCCCACCAGGCUCCUUCCUUCCUUCUAUAAAUGCUUUUAACAGUAUGUGCUGGACACUCUUGUUAGGGCCUUUUACACAUAUCACUCAGUCUGCUUUUCCCAUUCAUUUGACAAGUGUUUAUUGAGCUCCUACUGUGUGCAGGAGCUGGACUUGAUACUAGGGACAUCUUGUUAGAAAACUCAGGCAAAGUCUACCCACCUGGGGUUCUAACAAGACAAAGAGAGUGUUGGAGCUGUGGGCAAGGCUGUGAAGGCAAUGAAUGAAAUGGCGGGGUCAGAAAGGAAGGGCGGUCAGGGAUGCUCUCUGCAUGGAAGGGGCAUCUUCUUGGCUUUGAGACCCAAAUGCCAAAAUACCUGUGAGCAGCAGGCCAUGCCCACUCAGUGACAGAGCUGAGCCACAACCCUCCAUAGAUGCCAAACCAAACACCAGAUCAGGCCAGCAGUGAUGGACAAAGACCUUGGUCUGGAAGGGUCUUGCCACCUGAGCUCACAAGGGGAUUUUUGUUAUGCUCCUUAUUAUUAUUAUUAUUAUUAUUAUUAUGGCGGGGUUGGGGGUCUUUGGUGCACAAUAAACACUCUGGGAACCAUAAGUCAAGAUCUAGGCUCCAGUGCCUGCUCUGCCCUUGCUGUUUGACCUUGGGAUGCUAUCACCACCUCUCAGAACCUCAGCUUCCUUCCCCUUCUGUAAAAUGGAGAGUCUAAUAAUACCCACCUGGCAAGGGAGUCCAGGGAAGUCAAUGAGCUCCUUCGUGUAAAGAGCUGAUGUCUGCAUGUGGCCCUGGGUCACAGAUUUGUAAUGGGGAUUGAAAUUACUGAUAAGUGGCCAAGCAUGGUGGCUCACACCCAUGAUCCCAGCACUUUGGGAGGCUGAGGCAGGUGGAGCACCUAAGAUCAGGAGUUUAAGACCAGCCUGGCCAACAUGGUGAAACCCCAUCUCUAUGAAAAAUACAAAAAUUAGUUGGGCAUGGUGGUGUGUGCCUAUAAUCCCAGCUACUCGGGAGGCUGAGACAGGAGAAUCGCUGGAACCCAGGAGUUGGAGAUUGCAGUGGAGAUCCACUGCCCUCCAGCCUGGGCAACAAGAGUGAAACUUUGUCUCAAAAAAGCAAGCAAGCAAGCAAUUACUGAUAACCUUAUAGAUUCUCAGAGGACACAAGGGACUCAGAGUGGGGACCACACCCAUCCUCACACACAGAGACGGGAGCAGUCUACCUACCCAAGACCACAGAGCAACUGGUUGUCAGCAGCUGCAUCUCCACAGUCUCCCCAUUAUGGCUUCUGACCUGCCCUAGAGCAGCCCUUGGGCUUCCCCCUACCACCUCCUCUCCCUUCCUCACUUUAGCUCUUUUCUGUGGCCCCUGGUUAUGACCAAAGCCUGGGGAUCUUAUGAGUUUGAGGCAGCCUGAGCUUCUGUCUGUGCUUUCACCCAGAGCCAGAGCAUCAGGUCCAUGUACAUCAGCUGUGAUUCUCUGCUGCUUCAAAACCACCUAAGGUCUGGCUGGUUGUGUGUGUGGAAGAGGGGGUACUUUUCUUUCUCCAGGAUGACAUGAUAGAUUGAAAAGUACAUGGGAGGCUGGGUGCAGUGGCUCAUGCCUGUAAUCCCAGCAAUUUGGGAGGCUGAGGUGGGUGGAUCACCUGAGGUAGGAGUUCAAAACUAGCCUGGCCAACCUGGUUAAACCCCAUCUCCUAAAUGUACAAAAAUUCACUGGGGGUGGUGGCAUUUACCUGUAAUCCCAGCUACUCAGGAGGCUGAGGUAGGAGAAUCACUUGAAUCCAGGAAGCGGAGGUUGUAGUGAGCCGAGAUCACACCACUGCACUGCAGCCUGGGUGACAGAGUGAGACUUUGUCUCAAAAAAAAAAAUUAAAAAAUAAAAAGAAAAGUGCAUGGGCUCUAGAGGCAGAGAUGGAAUUGAAUCCAAGCUUUUACUUCUCAGCUGUGUGCCCUUGCACAAGUUCACUUCUCUGAGCCUCAGUUUUCUCAUCUGUGAAAUGGGAAUAUCUGGCUUCUAAGGGAUCUUAGGAUGACUGGGGAAUGCCUGGCACGUGGAAGGUGCUCAACCUGUGUGCUUUCCCAUGGCCAUCUAAGAGGCCUCAGGGCUGCCCUCCUGCCCUCCCCCACAACUCCUGUGACUGCCUCUUAAAUAGCUACUCCAGGUGAUAAGGAGGAAGAAGUGAGGGAGCCAGGCUAGAUCCACACCCACCCAUGCCCCUUGUUAGGAAAACAAGCCUUUAAUGCCUGGUCCUGCUGCUUUUGGCUGAGAGUAUAAAAUGGGACCCAGAGCCAACCUCUCCCUUUCUCUAAGGCACACCAAGGCAAUAGUGUUUAAAAGGAAAGGAGGCAGUGGCAUGGAGACUCCAGAGACCGAGCCCUUCCUAUGGCAAGAAAGGAGCUAGUGGAGCCCACUGCUGAGGGCCAUCUGGCUGGUGUUCCAUUCUGCCUUCCUCCUGGGGACCCACAGCCUCGUCAUCAGUGAUGUCUUCAGGUUCACUGUCCCCAAGCUGCUUAGGUGAGUCCAGACUUCAGGUGCUCUGCUAAGGCUGGUGGUCUCUUACUGGCAUCCCUCCAGGGUCAGGGGGCUUCAGCUCUCCUGCCUCUGCCUAUAGAUCUGGUGCUUGGGACACUGGAGCGUAGGUGAGAAGGAUACUGAGGAAGGGAAUUGAUUAAUGAGAAAGUGACUGACCCCCAGAAGGGCAAAUAAGCAAGCUGUUACCUGACUGCAUCAAUUAGCUUUUACUAUAAAAUGCUCCAAAAGUGAGUGACUGAAAAUUACAAGCAUUCAUUUAUUUAAUUCAUGGUAAUGUGGGUCAGUAACAUGGGCUGGGCUCAGCUGGGUGGGUCUUCUUUUCUUGGCUGGGUUUUCUCAUGUGCCUGCAGUUGUGUAUCUGAAGCUGGAAUGGCUGUCUCUGUUCCAUGAGGGUUCCCAUCCUCCAAAAAACUAGCUCAGACUUGUUCAUGUGGCUGCUUGGGAGGGUUCUAAGCAGUAGGCCAAAAGCCACAUUUUCUCCUGAGGCUCACAACUGGCAUAGCUUUACCUCCACUGUACUCUGUUGGUCAAAGAUGGUUUUGUGGCCAGCCCAGAUUCAAGUGGUGUCUGCUCAGCUGCCAUAACAGAGCAUCACAGACUGAGUAGCUUCAACAACAGAAACAUAUUUAUCUCAUGAUUCUGGAGGCUGGAAGUUCCAGAUCAGGUAUCUGCAAGUUGGUUCCAUCUGGGCCUCUGCCAUUGUCAUGCAGCUGGCCACCUCCUCUGUGUCAUCAUAUGGUCUUUCCUCUGUGUGCGCUCUGGUGUCUCCCUGUGUGUCCGCAUUUUCUCCUCUUAUAAGGACCCCAGUCAGACUGGAUGAGGGCCCAGCCUAAUGACCUCAUUUUAACUUCAUUCCCUCUUUAAAGGCCCUAUUUCCAAAUACAUUCACAUUCAGAGGCACUGGGGGUUGGGGGACAUACAAAUUUUGCGAGGACACAAUUUAGCCCAUAACAAGUGGGGAGAAAAACACCCUCUCUUGAUCUUGAGUAACUGCAGUAAGAUUGAAAAGAAGCAUGGACAGUGGGGGAAAUAACCGAGAUCAUGAUUGCAAAAAAGUCAACCACUCUGACUGAUCCUCCACACCUGGCCUGGUUUGGGCAAAGGCAACACACAUCGGCACGUCCUCUCACCGGCUGUACCUUUUCUUUCCCCUGCGAGCCUUUUCUUGGGUUUAUUGGUGAUCCCAAGCCUCCAGCCUGGAAGGACUACCUCCUUGCCAUGCUGAUGUUCCUCUCGGCCUGCCUGCAAACGCUGUUUGAGCAGCAGAACAUGUACCAGCCCAAGGUGCUGCAUAUAAGGCUGUGGUCAGCCAUCACUGGCCUGGUGUAUAGAAAGGCGAGCCCCGGGGUACAAGGGCAGACCUUCCAGCUGGAAAAGGAAACAUCACUUAGCUGGUUGGUAGUAAUGUUAUCAGCAGCUGAGAAUGCGUUCAGUCCUUACUUAUUCGUGUCACUCAUGAUAUAGUCUCACUUCUUUUGUUAUUUCUUUUUAUUUACAUGUAUUUAUUUUUUUGAGACAGAGUCUCGCUUUAUUGCCCAGGCCGUAGUGCAGUGGUGCAAUCCCUGCUUACUGCAACCGCCACCUCCUGGGUUCAAGCAAUUCUUCUGCCUCAGCCUCCUGAGUAGCUGGGACUACAGUCACAUGUCACCGUGCCUGGCUAAUUUUUGUAUUGUUAUUAGAGACAAGGUUUUGUCAUGUUGGUCAGGCUGGUCUCGAACUCCUGGCCUCAAGUGAUCUGCCUCACCUUCUUAGGUCUUUCUGUAAGGUCUUGUGUGAUGUGCUCCUGGGACCUCUCUGACCUAAUCACAUCUCACACACAUGCCUCCUCCCAUACUCACUCUCCAGAUGUAUAAUGACAUGUAUCUAUUAUUUUUAUAGGAUAUAACAGUUUCACUGCCCUAAAAAUUCUCAAUACUAUGCUUGUUAAUCUCUCCCUUUCUUCCUAGGAACUCCAACCACUGAUCUUUUCUAUCUUCAUAGUUUUACUUUUUUCAGAAGAGUCAUAUAGUUGAAAUAAUACAGUGGAUAUAUUUUUGAUUAGUUUAAAAAUUUAAGUUCUGUGGUAACUGAAUGUGGUCAUUUAAGAUAUACUUUGUCCUUUGGUUUUUAUUUUUUAUCAUAAGAUCGGAUGACAUGUGCUUUACAUAUUUAGAAAACAUGAUUUGUGUAGAUAUUUACCACAUAAUGGAAAGGGCUGAGGAAAAUGACACCGUGCAUUACCACACAGCACAUACUGGAGCAUCUUGGUGUAUGGGGUGGGUUCAGAUAGACUCUCUGUUCCUUGGAAGGUGACAAGUUCAAGAGGUUGUACUUGAUAAAACUGGAAUCACAAAGUCUUCCAUACAUACUUUCAGUUGGAAAUAAGACCAGGCAGUGAAUGCUAUAGGUAAAUACCCAUGCUCAUCACGGAUCCUCUUCCUUUGAGAAAUGAGUUUGAAAACAGUCUGUAUUAGGAUGACAUGACUCACCUAUGGCUAGAUUCUCUGUCAUGAGGGACGGAAAGGAAAUCACACAAUUUUGCUUUAUAUGAAGUUAAAGAAUUUUUUUCUUCUACUAGGGAGAGGGGAAAGCAUUGGCACAUUCUGGUAGCAAGAGGGCAUUGAUAGUUUUCUUUCUAUAUAUUUUUCAUAUCAGAUAGUACUGCCUGGCAGCCUGCCACACCUCCCCAGUGUUUCUUAAGCUUCUCUUUGAAUGUGACGUGCGAUUCAGAGUGGAUAAGCUCUUAAAGGCGUGAUCUUUCCAGUGGUUCUUUCUGUGGGAGGUAAAACGGCAGGCGAAUUUGGGCCUUGUUAUACGUAGAGCUGAGCAUAUAACUACAACUAAGUAAACUUUCCCCAGAAGAGUAUUAGCCAGAGUAAUACACUGAUCUCUCUUGAGCUCUUCUCCACUGGCAGCUGGAAAGUUUUUGCAAGGAUCCUUCUUUCUGGUCUGAUUCCUGUUUUGCUGGCUUCCAGUGACAAGUUAUUUUAUCCAAACUGAAGAGUUUUAACUGCAGAGCUAGAGAGGCUGUAUUGUGUUCAACAAAAUAAGUGCAGUAGUUAAGACUACCAGUAAAUGCCUGAAACCCCAAAGGUACUGAAUCACAUACCAUUUUUUCUACACAUAUAUAUCUAUGAUAGCAUUUAGUUUAUAAAUUAGGCACAGUAAGAAAUUAACAGUAACUCAUAAUAAAAUAUAUUGUUAUGGUUCUCACCCUUUUCCUGUGAUGAUGUGAAGUGAUACAAUGCCUGUGUACUGAGAUGAAGUGAGGUGAAUGAGGUAGGCAUUGUAAUGCAGUGUUAGGCCACUAUGCAUCCCCUGAAUCUAAGUCAGAAAAAGGAAGAUGAGCUGUGAGUGACCCUGGAUCUCCAGGCCUGAAUGAUGUUGAUGGCUGGCAACAGAAGGGGACCGUGUUGAUGACUAAUGGGUGAACAGUAUAUGCAGUGUGGAUAUACUGAACAAAGGGAUAAUUCACAUCCUGAUCUGGAUGAAGGGGGCUCAAGGUUUCAUUGCACUUCUCAGAAUAGUGCACUAAAGCUUAUGACAUGUUUAAUUUCUGAAGUUUUCCACGUGAUAUUUUUCAAAUACAAUUGACUAUUAGCUGUAACCACAGAAAUAAA
Callithrix jacchus (white-tufted-ear marmoset) is the source of this 6698-nucleotide long non-coding RNA. RefSeq lists it as uncharacterized. Lineage: Eukaryota; Metazoa; Chordata; Mammalia; Primates; Cebidae. The record is from RefSeq and is a predicted model, not a curated record.